AUCAGUGGACAAAGUCACUGUAAACCACCUUAGCUGUCCUGUGGUUGCUGUCAGCUUUCUUCUAUGUACUGAACAUCAUGUACCAAAAGGGAGCAUCCCUCACUCUGGAGUUCAUACAGAUGUACUGAGCCUGCUGGGUAUAAAUGAAGAAGAGCAGAAAAAAGGGCACAAAACAGUACAACAUUCCACCAAAACUGCUUCAAUUCCUGUCAGACCUGAGUGACUUCCAGAAUCCUUGGAAGAUUUAAAGCCACAGAACUAGCAUCUGGAACAGAGAGAAAGGAGAGGGAAGCAUGUGUGUGUGUGUGUGGUGUGUGACAACAGGCGGGCUAUUUUACCCCCACUCAAAAAACUAAGCACUCAAAAUGAUGAUUUUAAAUAGUUUUUUGUUCUUAAUAGUUCAUAUUUUUUACUGUGUGAUACAACAAUCGUUUUCAGUACAAAACACAUUAUUUGGCAGCGUAUUGAUUUUUUUCCCCAUUAUAGCUGUGGGGUGCAAAUGUAUCACUUUUACUGGCUUGAUCUGCAUUCUGUUCCUGAACUUUGUUUCAUUUUCAAUUACCAUUCUGAACCACAGAGUCAAAUUUGACCCAUGAAAUUGGUAAUUUUUCAGUUUUACAUGUUCAUAUCCCAAGGAUGUUGGUUGAGGAUGUCGAGGAUUUUCAUGCUGAGAAAAUGUUUAUGGGUGUUUUAUUUAUGUUAAACUCUGGAAUGGGUCCUUUUUGACUCAAACUAGUCAUUUAUCUAAAACAAUGAUUUUAAAAUAGGUUUUUUUUGAGGGAUGUCCUGAUCAAGGUUUUUUUUUUUUUGCCCCUGACUUAAAAUCAGUCUGAUGCAGGUAAGAUAUACUUGGUAAUUGAAUAACCUCUUAAAGAAAAAAAUAGCCUACAUCACACCUUUCCCUUAAUGGUUUUCAUUUACUUUGUGACAAAAAAAGGAUUGGAAUUUGAUUGAGCUUAAUAUAGCCGCUACCGAUCAAUUAAAAUUUGUGAUCGGCUCCAAUUUGUCCAAUCUGAUUGGGACAUCUCUAGUUUUUUUAACUUAAUAGUCCAUACAGUUUUACUGUUUAAUUUUGCUAAUUACCCAAAACAUUUUUCAAACAUGUCUUUUCUCACUAUGAUGAUUACUUUAGUUUGAUGUCUUAAGGGGGUCUUGGAGGAUUUUGGAAACUUUACUUCUCUCAACGUGUAUGAUGAGAAGCAAACCAUGUUUAGUUUGUAGGCAUUGGUAAUGCUACAUCUAUGGCACACACUGUGUUUACACCACUAUGUUUACCACAGAUGUGUUGAAAAUUAUACCUUUUGAGCAGUGCACACUUUCUUCCACUGAACUAUUCAUUCCACCAGUUAAUAAAUAUGGAUCCAAACCUCCUUAUAUCCUCCUUCAUUCCACUUCCCCUUCUGCCCUGCCAUCAUCCCUUUCUCCCUCCUCCACCAUGCCACCACCCCUUUCUCACCUUCUUCCUCCUUGAAAUGAAAAAGAGGGGGAGGAAGUAUAUGAAAAGUCAGACAGCAUGGAGUAUUCAAAUCAGUCUGUGCUCCCAGAUGAGUGCUGCAGGAGAGUGUACACUUAAGGUGCUUUGGGAGGUAGGUUGGAGAAAUGGAUGAAAGAG
Long non-coding RNA from Thunnus maccoyii (southern bluefin tuna), 1612 nucleotides. RefSeq lists it as uncharacterized. The transcript has 3 exons. The record is from RefSeq and is a predicted model, not a curated record. Lineage: Eukaryota; Metazoa; Chordata; Actinopteri; Scombriformes; Scombridae.